GAUGAACGCUGGCGGCGUGCCUAAUACAUGCAAGUCGAGUGAACGGACGAGAAGCUUGCUUCUCUGAUGUUAGCGGCGGACGGGUGAGUAACACGUGUAUAACCUACCUAUAAGACUGGGAUAACUUCGGGAAACCGGAUCUAAUACCGGAUAAUAUUUUGAACCGCAUGGUUCAAAAGUGAAAGACGGUCUUGCUGUCACUUAUAGAUGGAUCCGCGCUGCAUGAGUUAGUUGGUAAGGUAACGGCUUACCAAGGCAACUAUGCAUAGCCGACCUGAGAGAGUGGUAGGCCACACUGGAGCUGAGACACGGACCAGACUCCUGCGGGAGGCCGCAGUAGAGAAUCUUACGCAAUGGGGGAGAGCAUGACAGAGCAACGCGGCGUGAGUGAUGAAGGUCUUCGGAUCGUAAAGCUCUGUUAGUAGGGGAGAACAUAUGUGUAAGUAACUGUGCACAUCUUGACGGUACCUAGUCAGAAAGCCACGGCUAACUACGUG
Molecule: ribosomal RNA, 497 nt
Filed under: uncultured bacterium
Lineage: Bacteria
Description: partial 16S ribosomal RNA
Rfam family: Bacterial small subunit ribosomal RNA
Source: RNAcentral